Molecule: long non-coding RNA, 444 nt
Filed under: Rattus norvegicus (Norway rat)
Lineage: Eukaryota; Metazoa; Chordata; Mammalia; Rodentia; Muridae
Description: long non-coding RNA NONRATT029221
Source: RNAcentral
UGGAGGGAGAGAGGGAGCCCCCCAACCUCAGUGAGGACAGCCCCGAGCAGGCCCCGGGGCAAAGAGGGGUGUGGAGUGAAUUCCCCCAGAUCAGCCUCACCACCCAGUAGUGUGGCCAGGAAAGGGUUAAUGAGAGCCAAGGUGGGUACCCGGAGCCAUGGCUGGAGGCCUGGGGAAAGCAAGAUCAGGAGCUGCCACCCAGUCUUUUUCCUCUCCUUCACUGCCCCUGGAUCUGGGCCUCCAGGGACGUGGAACCUGCUGCCCUCUGGGAUGCAGGAGAUGGGAGGGGUGCACAGUAGGGGGAAAAAGUCAGGCCCGAGCCAGGGGUUGACCCCAGGGGGAGGGGGGCAUGGCUGACACUGGAAAAUGGGGUUUUGCACUGGGUUUGUUGUUUUUUUUUGUUUUUGUUUUUGUUUUCCUUUAAAAUAAAAACAAAAGCUGUGA